This 1344-nucleotide long non-coding RNA is filed under the name Anas platyrhynchos platyrhynchos (common mallard). RNAcentral describes it as "lncRNA (ENSAPLG00000020520.1)". Lineage: Eukaryota; Metazoa; Chordata; Aves; Anseriformes; Anatidae. The record is from RNAcentral.
AUGAAUGCAUUUGUGGCACUAAUUGAAAUAAACCCAAGGUCUGGCUUUUCAAAAGGAGUAAAACCUCUAGCACUCUCAAAAAAAGAAAAGAAAAGAAAAGAAAAGAAAAGAAAAGAAAAGAAAAGAAAAGCCUCUUUUACUGUCUUUAACCCCUGCUUGUUGUCUUUCAGUACAGCUGCAUUUGGAUGCAACAGAGCAAGGCAGAUUCUGCUUGCGGGAACUAGGGAUUCAUGGUGCAGGAUGCUGGGGACUGGGCUUGGUGUUGCUCCCUUCCUCAUCUAUAAAAGCAGCUCAUUAGGGGCAGUAGGGUUCUCAGGUAGCAGAGGGUUAUGUGGAGAUGGCCUGGGAGCACAUGGAUGGAGCGCUUCACAAACAUUAACUAAUGAAUCCUCACCACCUCUGUGUGAAGCUAAAGAGGCUGCUGGCACGACGGGGAGGGGAUGUAUCAGGGGAAUAACCUCCUCUUGGCCUGCUGAUGCUGCUGCUUUUCAGGCUGCUGUGGUAUUCAUUCUCCCUCCUCUGUCAGCCUUCCCCUAAUUGUGCUUCAGCCAGGUUGUGUGGAGGAGGAGGACGUCGGCAGCACGGAGAGGUGGUGCCCACGGUCAGCGCUGCAGCAGGAGCUGAUGCUCCCCUGGGCUUGUCUGCAGCUGGAGUGCUUGGGCUGUGGCUGUGAGAAACGAGGUUCUGGCUUUGGACAUAAACAUCUGUAAAAUGCAGGAGCCCAUACUAGGGCUGAAAUAGUUAUAGCAUCUGACUUUCUGCAAAUCACUUCAGGAGAAGCUAUGUCUUGCCUUCUGCAGUCUCCCAGCCAGGAAACCUCUCCUGAGCCUCCUUCACCUCCCCAGAAUGGGAUUUUGAGCUGAAAGACCAUCUCUCAUGGCCAGUGUACCUCUGCAGGAGCAGACUGCCUCCUGACAGAUGUGCUCACACUGCCCUCUCUGAGCUUUCUCCAUGCUGGCCCAUCCUUCAAGACCACCAUUUAAUGGAGGAGCUGAUAGAUGCUACUCUACAUCUACAUUUCUGUUGUAUCUACCUUUUUUUCACUGCAGCUGCCUGUGAUUGUAUAGUAUCUCUCCUGGAAGAAUCUGGAGAGAAGAGAGAGGUUUCAUUCUCUCCACAAGAAGUGGCCUUGACUCUCCAGAGAUCCCACCACCGUGCAUUUGCAGCACAUUCAUUCCCCCAUCUCCCACAGCAGGCCUGCCCCUGCUCUGAAUUUUAGGCUGCAAAGUCCUGUUUUGCCUGUUCUACCAGCAUUUUACCAUUUUCUUUUUCCCAGGAAACACCGACGGGGCACAAUGUCCAUGCCUUCUUCCACAGCUAGGUUGUCUUACCAUAACCACGAGA